UCCCCGUUUAAGCGAGGCAGUCUGUCCAGAGUGCUCUUUACUCUCGUAAAGGUGGCAACAGGACACAAGGGUUGCGCUCGUUGCGGGACUUAACCCAACAUCUCACGACACGAGCUGACGACAGCCAUGCAGCACCUGUGCAGGCUCCCCUUGCGGGGUCGUCCCACUUUCAUGGUUCUACCACCUGCAUGUCAAGGCCAGGUAAGGUUCUUCGCGUUGCAUCGUAUUAAGCCACAUACUCCACCGCUUGUGCAGGCCCCCGUCAAUUUCUUUGAGUUUUAAUCUUGCGACCGUACUCCCCAGGCGGCACGCUUAUCGCGUUAGCUUCGCCACAAGAGGGGUCGAUUCCUCUUACAGCAAGCGUGCACCGUUUAGGGCCGGGACUAC
RNAcentral lists this unclassified non-coding RNA (387 nucleotides) under uncultured Verrucomicrobiae bacterium. RNAcentral's name for it is "contains 16S-23S intergenic spacer region". Lineage: Bacteria; Pseudomonadati; Verrucomicrobiota; Verrucomicrobiia. The record is from RNAcentral.